Tetranychus urticae (two-spotted spider mite) is the source of this 1337-nucleotide RNA transcript. RefSeq lists it as uncharacterized. NCBI's taxonomy places the organism in Eukaryota, Metazoa, Arthropoda, Arachnida, Trombidiformes, Tetranychidae. The record is from RefSeq and is a predicted model, not a curated record.
CUGUACCUAAGCUAAAGUACAUGAGAACCUAGAAAGAGACGAAAAGAGUCAGAGAAGAUCUUAGAGAGACUCAAGGAUUUACGAUUCUAAAACUGGUCUUGUUAACAUAUACCUGUUUACUUUCUUCUUUGGUCCACCUUUUCUUCUCAUUUUACCUUCUUUAGAUUCUUUGGUCCAUUGGACUUAUUUCAUCCUCAUUUUGGCUUCACCGGAACAUUUCAUUGCCCAGUUUGUCGCUUCCAAUUCCUUUGGUUGUUAACAGUAAACUUUUUAGUGCGUAUUUCAAUCAAAAAAUCAUCUAACAAUGCGUUGUGUACUUGUUUUGGUUUGUCUCUUUGCUCUACAAGCAUCAUGUUUCCCUCAUGAAAGCCGACGUGAAGAAGAAGAAGCUAGAAUUUUGUCUGAAGUUUGGGACGCAAUGGACAAACAUAGAGGAGAUGACAUAAUUGUGGUUCCAAGACAUGACGAGUCUGGUCCAAGUGAACAUCAUUCAAGUGAAAGUCAUUCAGAGAGCCACUCAAGUGAACAUUCUGAGGGUCCUCAUGAUGGCCCCCGUGAUGGUCCUAGCCACUCUGAGCCUGAAAAAUUACCAGAACCAGAAGCUCACAAGCAAUCUGAAAGCUCAGAAUCUUCAGAGAAAUCAGAGGAAAGCAAGGAAAACUCAUCUGAAUCCAAAUCAGAGGGUUCAGACAGAUAUCGGCCAUUUGACAAAAUGUUCGGAAAUCUUGAUAAAAUUGGUGACAUGAUGAGUCGGGCUGUUGACAGAUUGAGACAAGAUGACCAAGAAAUCAAGGAUUUAGAAGCUGAAGGAUCAUCAUCAAAUGGACUUACAGUUUUCAUCUUGGAAAUUGUUGGAGGCGUUGUAGUUGCUUUAAUUGUAAUCAUACUCGUUGUGGUUGGAUCAGUUAAAGGAGUAAACAAAUUGAAGACAUGGAGAGCAAGACGAGAAUCAGCAAGAUUAGUUGGUAAUGAUUUCUUAUGAUUUCAGUAAUUAACUUAACCAUUCAUUAAUCAAAUCCAAUGCCCAAUUGUCAAUGGUUUACCAUGCUAGUUUAAUAAUCGGAUCAAGAAAAUCCCAAUAUGGAUGCAACUGGUUACCAAAGUGGUUUUAACCCAUGAAUUGAACCAUUUGAUUUCAUAAUUGAUGAAAUGACCAUCAAUCGGAAUAGACCCAUCAUUAGCUGCCAACACAGUCUUAUUUCAUCUAAAUUUUUACAAUUUCAUGAUCAUGAUUUGUCUAACAACAAUUUAAUAACUUGAAAUACAUUUGAGUAUUACUGGCUCAGUAAAUGUAUUUUAUAAUUUGAUUGAAAUGAAUGUAAAAUUUUGCUUAAUAA